UACGUAGGGUCCGAGCGUUGUCCGGAAUUAUUGGGCGUAAAGCGUGCGCAGGCGGUUUUGUAAGUCAGAUGUGAAAUCCCCGGGCUUAACCUGGGAACUGCGUUUGAAACUACAAGGCUAGAGUGUGGCAGAGGGGGGUGGAAUUCCACGUGUAGCAGUGAAAUGCGUAGAGAUGUGGAGGAACACCGAUGGCGAAGGCAGCCCCCUGGGUUAACACUGACGCUCAGGCACGAAAGCGUGGGGAGCAAACAGG
RNAcentral lists this ribosomal RNA (253 nucleotides) under uncultured bacterium. RNAcentral's name for it is "partial 16S ribosomal RNA". It matches the Rfam family "Bacterial small subunit ribosomal RNA", at positions 524 to 776 of the family's 1533-position model. The record is from RNAcentral.